RNAcentral lists this long non-coding RNA (1002 nucleotides) under Coturnix japonica (Japanese quail). RNAcentral's name for it is "lncRNA (ENSCJPG00005016085.1)". The record is from RNAcentral. Lineage: Eukaryota; Metazoa; Chordata; Aves; Galliformes; Phasianidae.
GAAUGGCUUCCUCUAAAUGCUCUUUUCCCUGCCACACAGAAGUCAGACCUAUGCUUCCAUGAGUACUGCCAUUUAGUUUUAUCUGGACUUAUCACUACACUGCUCCAAAUUUGUUCCAUGAGAGCCACAUAAAAUAUUCUAUAAAGAAGGUAUUUCUUUUCCAGAACUGACAUACAGGAUUUCAGCCACCUAAAAAGUAGGUCUGUAAUUUUAAUGUAUUUUCAUAAGCGGAAGGAGAGCCAUCCCAAGUAUAUGAAGCAGCUUUCAAGAGAAAACUUCAAGGUAGUUAAACAGCAAACCGUGUGUCCUCUGGGCACAGAGGAAUCCUGUCCUUUCACCAAACUGGCACAACUGUUCUGGCAUCAGCUCUGCUUAUAGAAAGCCGUUGGGAGCAUGGCCAAGCAAGAGCAAGUGGACUGCUGAAGCACUGCAGCACUUCAUGCUGAUGUUUGCAGCCCUGACACUGCUCCAAGCCAGAUGCUCUGCUCCAGCAUCCGGAAUGGGGAGGAGAACAGGAAAACAGAAACAAGGCAGAGAAUCAAUGACUGAGAAACAACCAGGAACACCAGGGGAAGAAUGGAUAACGCAGGCUACUUAGGGUAAGAGAAAUUAGGGAGGACAGGGGCUAAACAUGGGCAAUUCUAUGGCACUUAGUCAAUGAGUCAUGGAACAGGAGUUCAGCAGUGGAAACCCUGCUCUGAAACUGCACCCAGCUGUUCCCCUCCCCUCUUCUGUUAAAAAGUAAUUUUGCUUGAUAACAAUUACUAUGUGGAACGGUGUAAUGGUGGAGUUUUCACUCAUAUUUACAUUAAACAUUAUCUACAAACACACCUGGGGAGUUGAUAAGAAUGAGUAUGUGAUGCUGUGUGUCUUAUGGUGACUGGUACUGAUUAAGCAAAACAUGGGGCAUGUACUGUAGCGCACACCUUUGUGGGAGAAUCAGGAAGGAAAAUGAAUACAGCGACAAAUAAAAUACUCUCCAACAAAAUUCUCCUUUUUUUC